Molecule: transfer RNA, 84 nt
Filed under: Pseudomonadota bacterium
Lineage: Bacteria; Pseudomonadati; Pseudomonadota
Also listed under: 1 other name
Description: tRNA-Leu
Rfam family: tRNA
About the family: Transfer RNA (tRNA) molecules are approximately 80 nucleotides in length.
Source: RNAcentral
GGCCCCGUGGCGGAACAGGCAUACGCGUUCGGCUUAGGACCGAAUGCCCGCGAGGGCAUGAGGGUUCGAUUCCCUCCGGGGCCA